Patella vulgata (common limpet) is the source of this 1286-nucleotide long non-coding RNA. RefSeq lists it as uncharacterized. Lineage: Eukaryota; Metazoa; Mollusca; Gastropoda; Patellidae. The transcript has 3 exons. The record is from RefSeq and is a predicted model, not a curated record.
GAAGAAAAAAGCCAUGGUCUAUUGUAGUUAAAUCAAUGGCAAUUAUGUAUCCUAAAAUAGCUUGACUUCAUUGAGUAAUAUUGUCAAAGAUCGUGUAACCCUACCUAUUACUAUCGCUAGAUCUAUUUUGAACAAGGGAAGAGUAGCAGAAAAAGGAGGACCACAUUGUUGCCAUUGGGACAGUGGGAAUAUGAUGACAUCGGCGCGAGCAUUUCCAUGAGUAUUGAGAUCAGAUGAUAACUUUUGUCAAUAGAAGGUUCAACAAAGAGAAACACAAGCAAUAACACUAGAAGAAAUUAGCAGAAAUUCAUACAGAUCGGAUGAUAACUUUUGUUGUUAGAGCGGACAGAAGGUUCUACAAAGUGAAACAAGGGACAUAACUCUAGACGAAAUUAACACAAAAUCUGGAAAUUAAAUAGACUUCUUCAUCAGACUAGAUAAAACAGCAUAGAUCAAUUUCAAAACUAUCGGAUGACAAGGUGGGCACAACUCAGAACACUUAAAAUUCCAGUUUUCCAGGAGUUAUUUACCAGAUUCUAGUAUUUCUUUUAAGCUUGAAGAACAUUUACCGCCACGAACUUGUGAACUUUUGAAGAAACAUUUAAUGACUACAUUCAGUUUUAUAUCUUAAUAUAUAGCGAAACUACAAAUGUUAAUUUUCCAGGAGUUUCAAGGAGCACUUUUGUUUUCCAGGAUUUUCCAGUACAGGAAAUCACAUUUUCAUUUUUCCAGGAUUUUCAAGAAGUGUGCGAACCUGGGAUGAUAAAGGAAAUGAAAUGGGGUUUUGUCAAUAGAAGGUUCAACUUUUCUCCACCCACUGGGCUAAUGAAGACGGGGUUCUUUUAUGUGCAUGCCAAUGUGUAAAUGGGGCCUUGGUUUUUCGGAUGGUAAAUGUAGUCUGUAGAUUAUUCAUAAGAGAGAGAGAAAUGGGGUUUAAUGUCCACUCGACACAAUGUAAGUCAUUUCGGGACUAGCAUAGGUUCAAUUUUAUUUCAAUAAUUCACUUGUGCGUAGCGGUCUUUAGCAGUGGGGGUAACCAGAGGACCUAGAGAAAACCCAUGAGGUUGGACAGGCGACCCUACUCCUUGUCACAUGCAACCGGGAAAUCGAAACCCCACCAGUUGACUCAAUGACAAACCUUACAAUACAGCGCGGACGCGCUAACCAUUCGACCAUCCAACCCCCUGUAUUCACAAGAAAUUGUGGACGACGGACAGAUGACAAUAAUACGACCACAUUUCCAUGUGGGCGAAUAAAAACUUCAUUAAUAAUACAUUUAUAAAAUA